ACGGGGGGUGCAAGCGUUAUUCGGAAUUACUGGGCGUAAAGAGCGUGCAGGCGGCUGGACAAGUCUGAUGUGAAAGCCCGGGGCUUAACCCCGGAAGGGCAUUUGAAACUGUUUAUCUUGAGUAAUGGAGAGGAAAGGAGAAUUCCCGGUGUAGAGGUGAAAUUCGUAGAGAUCGGGAGGAACACCAGUGGCGAAGGCGACUUUCUGGACCGAAACUGACGCUGAGACGCGAAAGCGUGGGGAGCAAACAG
RNAcentral lists this ribosomal RNA (251 nucleotides) under uncultured prokaryote. RNAcentral's name for it is "partial 16S rRNA". It matches the Rfam family "Bacterial small subunit ribosomal RNA", at positions 525 to 775 of the family's 1533-position model. The record is from RNAcentral.